Molecule: non-coding RNA, 117 nt
Organism: Gorilla gorilla gorilla (western lowland gorilla)
Lineage: Eukaryota; Metazoa; Chordata; Mammalia; Primates; Hominidae
Rfam family: Metazoan signal recognition particle RNA
About the family: The signal recognition particle (SRP) is a universally conserved ribonucleoprotein. It is involved in the co-translational targeting of proteins to membranes.
Source: Rfam
GCUGGGCAUGGUGGCUCAUGCCUGUAAUCCCAGCACUUUGGGAGGCUGAGGUGGGUGGAUCACUUGGGGUCAGGAGUUCAAGACCAGCCUGGCCAACAUGGUGAAACCCCAUCUCUA